GCGCCCGUAGCUCAGCUGGAUAGAGCGCUGCCCUCCGAAGGCAGAGGUCAGGGGUUCGAAUCCCUUCGGGCGCGCCA
RNAcentral lists this transfer RNA (77 nucleotides) under Methylosinus sporium. RNAcentral describes it as "tRNA-Arg". It matches the Rfam family "tRNA". Rfam says of the family: Transfer RNA (tRNA) molecules are approximately 80 nucleotides in length. Their secondary structure includes four short double-helical elements and three loops (D, anti-codon, and T loops). The record is from RNAcentral. RNAcentral also lists the same sequence under 26 other names. Lineage: Bacteria; Pseudomonadati; Pseudomonadota; Alphaproteobacteria; Hyphomicrobiales; Methylocystaceae.